Molecule: long non-coding RNA, 389 nt
Organism: Diachasma alloeum
Lineage: Eukaryota; Metazoa; Arthropoda; Insecta; Hymenoptera; Braconidae
Exons: 2
Source: RefSeq, a predicted model, not a curated record
AAGUUUUUCAUCGACUAGUCGCACGAAAGCCUCCAACUAUUGGCGGAACCUCGACGUUUUCUAAUCAUGAUGAAAGCUUGCAAGGAGAUGAUUCUGCUUAUACUUGUGAUCGUCAUGGUCUUCACUGGCAUUGCCGAGGGAAAACGCUGUCCAGACGGAUGUACAGCAGCUGAUUGCAACCAGCAAGAUAUCGCACAUUUCGGACAACCAACGGAAGUCCGUUGCACAUUUAUUGGUCCCGAGUAUUGCCAAUGUUCUUUCAAUUACGGUAACGGAUAAAUGAAAAAGAACAUUUGGUGAGAAUAAUCCGCUGAUGCUGAUUCAGUAAUCUUGACUUCCACCUGUAAAGAUAUUUGGCGGAUAAUAAAGCACCUUGUGAACAUAUCAAA